Molecule: transfer RNA, 72 nt
Filed under: Camelus bactrianus (Bactrian camel)
Lineage: Eukaryota; Metazoa; Chordata; Mammalia; Artiodactyla; Camelidae
Also listed under: 2 other names
Rfam family: tRNA
About the family: Transfer RNA (tRNA) molecules are approximately 80 nucleotides in length. Their secondary structure includes four short double-helical elements and three loops (D, anti-codon, and T loops).
Source: Rfam by way of RNAcentral
GAGGGUAAAGCUCAGUGGUAGAGCGUGUGCUUAGCAUGCACGAGGUCCUGGGUUCAAUCCCCAGUACCUCCA